UGUGAAGUGGAUAUUUUAAUGGAGCUUUGCAUAAGAAACAUGGGAAAAGCAGAUGAGCAUAUCAAAAAACUUUAAGCAAAGCUACCUGGUUUAUUAAGAGAAGGGAGUACCCCGCAUAGUCACUGAGCUGAGCUGGCUGCCUGGUCACAGAGCCCUCCAGGACUUUAGAUCUGGUUCACUUGGGUCUCGCUCCAUAAAUUAAUUAAGACAUUCAUGAUUUAAAUAAAUUUAUUCAUCAAUUUAAAAAAUCAUUCAUGUUUUUUUUUCAGUCCCUGGGUGGCUUUUCAGCUUUUAACGUAAGCUUUGAAGUAAAUGGACAGAACAAACAGAAAUUACAGAAACACUCCCUCUGCACAUUCAGGCAAAGGUCUGAUUUCCAGAACGUGGCUGACUGCAUGCAACCUCUGCCUGGCCAGAGGCUUCCCUGGGGAGCUUCCUUCAGAAGAGAGCAAAUACCACUGAAAUAUUCUUCUCAUUAAUUUUGGGGAAGUUUUAAAACAUUUAAGCCUCAAAUUAUUACCAGGUGAGUUGCAAUUUUGCCCACGCUUAUUUUUAAAGCAGAAAGUGCCUAUCCUGAUUCUUUUCUUAAUGUAAAGUUUAAAUUUCCGUGUCCUGAUUUCCCUUAAGAGAAAUCCAGGGAUAAGGAACAAACUCCUGUCCUUGAAGUCAUCCACGGCGGGGCUCUAUUUCAGGACCUGAGCAGCACGAGGAUUUUGCUGCUCAAGUUGGAAAGGUGCGCUCUGUGCCCCCUUCGAAUCUCGUUGCCCAGAAGUUGAUCCCUGUACGGCCCAGGAGCCACGCGAAGGCGGUGAAACCUCAGCAGGUUCUGCCUUCACUCCUUCAGCGCUUCUUCAGGCACCGGCACGAGGGAGACCCCAACCCCGCGUGCUGCAGCGGACCCACGAGCAAUGACCUCAAUGGGAAAACAGGAUUCCAGAGCGCCGUCUUUCCUAAGCAUGUCAAAACUCAGUCCAGCUCCUCCCGAGGCCGAGAUACCGAUUUUCUUCUAACACAUCGGGUUGCACAGCCUCUGGUUUCGGCUUCUCCCCGUCCCCCACUGCAGGGAACGGGCAGAACAGAGCGCUGCCUGCGGGAGGCCCGGCUGGAGGCCCGGUGUGACCCGGUACCGCACGCAAGGCAAAGCUCAUCCCGCAUUCAACUUCCAGUGCUGUUCACGCAGGGUGACGGCGAUGCUUUUUGUCUGUUUGCUUAUUGGGGUUAUGGGGGGAAAUAGCCCUGUCAAUGUGUUACGGCACUGAAUGCCGGAACAAAGCAGGCCUCUCGUUUUCAACGGCAGUCCCUGGGAAAACGACGCGCGUUGCCGAAGUGCCACCUGCUGUCCGUCACCGAUGGCGGCAGCGCAGCUCUGUCCGCACGCACUGCGGGCAGUAACUGGGCGCUCCACAGCUUUUAGUUACUUUCUUACUUCGUUUUAGAGACCUGCGCUGACGAAGCGCCCACACGGGAAGAAGCAAAAGGCUUCGUGUGGACGUUCUGGCGCUAUGUUCACGCCGAGGCCGCGCGUCACUCGCAGCUCAAACUGUCCCCGCGUUCUCGUGGGACGUCGUCACGUUGCUCAGAGCAACCGCCGCUCCCGGCACGAGCGAGGCCGCAGCCGACCGCCCCGCGGACGCAC
This is a long non-coding RNA of Gallus gallus (chicken), 1636 nucleotides long. The record is from Ensembl. NCBI's taxonomy places the organism in Eukaryota, Metazoa, Chordata, Aves, Galliformes, Phasianidae.